This 463-nucleotide ribosomal RNA is filed under the name uncultured bacterium. Its description in RNAcentral is "partial 16S ribosomal RNA". It matches the Rfam family "Bacterial small subunit ribosomal RNA", at positions 28 to 507 of the family's 1533-position model. The record is from RNAcentral.
GACGAACGCUGGCGGCGUGCUUAACACAUGCAAGUCGAACGGUGAACCUCUUCGGAGGGGAUCAGUGGCGAACGGGUGAGUAACACGUGGGCAACCUGCCCCCGGCUCUGGGAUAACUCCAAGAAAUUGGGGCUAAUACCGGAUGUUCACCGCUUCCCGCAUGGGUGGUGGUGGAAAGGGUUUCCGGCUGGGGAUGGGCCCGCGGCCGAUCAGCUUGUUGGUGGGGUAGUGGCCUACCAAGGCGACGACGGGUAGCCGGCCUGAGAGGGUGACCGGCCACACUGGGACUGAGACACGGCCCAGACUCCUACGGGAGGCAGCAGUGGGGAAUAUUGCGCAAUGGGCGGAAGCCUGACGCAGCGACGCCGCGUGGGGGAUGACGGCCUUCGGGUUGUAAACCUCUUUCAGCAGGGACGAAGCGCAAGUGACGGUACCUGCAGAAGAAGCACCGGCCAACUACGUG